CACUAUCGUUAACUGAAUACAUAGGUUAACGAGGCGAACCGGGGGAACUGAAACAUCUAAGUACCCCGAGGAAAAGAAAUCAACCGAGAUUCCCCCAGUAGCGGCGAGCGAACGGGGAGCAGCCCAGAGUCUGAAUCAGCUUGUGUGUUAGUGGAACGGUCUGGAAAGUCCGACGGUACAGGGUGAUAGUCCCGUACACCAAAAUGCACAGGCUGUGAACUCGAAGAGUAGGGCGGGACACGUGGUAUCCUGUCUGAAUAUGGGGGGACCAUCCUCCAAGGCUAAAUACUCCUGACUGACCGAUAGUGAACCAGUACCGUGAGGGAAAGGCGAAAAGAACCCCGGCGAGGGGAGUGAAAAAGAACCUGAAACCGUGUACGUACAAGCAGUGGGAGCACCUUCGGGUGUGACUGCGUACCUUUUGUAUAAUGGGUCAGCGACUUAUAUUCUGUAGCAAGGUUAACCGUAUAGGGGAGCCGCAGGGAAACCGAGUCUUAACUGGGCGUUAAGUUGCAGGGUAUAGACCCGAAACCCGGUGAUCUAGCCAUGGGCAGGUUGAAGGUUGGGUAACACUAACUGGAGGACCGAACCGACUAAUGUUGAAAAAUUAGCGGAUGACUUGUGGCUGGGGGUGAAAGGCCAAUCAAACCGGGAGAUAGCUGGUUCUCCCCGAAAGCUAUUUAGGUAGCGCCUCGUGAACUCAUCUUCGGGGGUAGAGCACUGUUUCGGCUAGGGGGUCAUCCCGACUUACCAACCCGAUGCAAACUACGAAUACCGAAGAAUGUUAUCACGGGAGACACACGGCGGGUGCUAACGUCCGUCGUGAAGAGGGAAACAACCCAGACCGCCAGCUAAGGUCCCAAAGUCAUGGUUAAGUGGGAAACGAUGUGGGAAGGCACAGACAGCCAGGAUGUUGGCUUAGAAGCAGCCAUCAUUUAAAGAAAGCGUAAUAGCUCACUGGUCGAGUCGGCCUGCGCGGAAGAUGUAACGGGGCUAAACCAUGCACCGAAGCUGCGGCAGCGACACUAUGUGUUGUUGGGUAGGGGAGCGUUCUGUAAGCCUGCGAAGGUGACCUGUGAGGGUUGCUGGAGGUAUCAGAAGUGCGAAUGCUGACAUAAGUAACGAUAAAGCGGGUGAAAAGCCCGCUCGCCGGAAGACCAAGGGUUCCUGUCCAACGUUAAUCGGGGCAGGGUGAGUCGACCCCUAAGGCGAGGCCGAAAGGCGUAGUCGAUGGGAAACAGGUUAAUAUUCCUGUACUUGGUGUUACUGCGAAGGGGGGACGGAGAAGGCUAUGUUAGCCGGGCGACGGUUGUCCCGGUUUAAGCAUGUAGGCUGAUUGUCCAGGCAAAUCCGGAUAAUCAAGGCUGAGGUGUGAUGACGAGGCACUACGGUGCUGAAGUAACAAAUGCCCUGCUUCCAGGAAAAGCCUCUAAGCAUCAGGUAACAUUAAAUCGUACCCCAAACCGACACAGGUGGUCAGGUAGAGAAUACCAAGGCGCUUGAGAGAACUCGGGUGAAGGAACUAGGCAAAAUGGUGCCGUAACUUCGGGAGAAGGCACGCUGGUGUGUAGGUGAAG
RNAcentral lists this ribosomal RNA (1577 nucleotides) under Klebsiella pneumoniae. RNAcentral's name for it is "partial 23S ribosomal RNA". It matches the Rfam family "Bacterial large subunit ribosomal RNA", at positions 146 to 1767 of the family's 2925-position model. The record is from RNAcentral. Lineage: Bacteria; Pseudomonadati; Pseudomonadota; Gammaproteobacteria; Enterobacterales; Enterobacteriaceae.